RNAcentral lists this ribosomal RNA (448 nucleotides) under uncultured Planctomycetota bacterium. RNAcentral describes it as "bacterial SSU rRNA". It matches the Rfam family "Bacterial small subunit ribosomal RNA", at positions 217 to 656 of the family's 1533-position model. The record is from RNAcentral. Lineage: Bacteria; Pseudomonadati; Planctomycetota.
GCUUAAAGAGGGGUUAAUGUCCUAUCAGCUAGUUGGUGGGGUAAUGGCCUACCAAGGCAAAGACGGGUAGCCGGCUUGAGAGGGUGGUCGGCCACACUGGGACUGAGACACUGCCCAGACUCCUACGGGAGGCUGCAGUCGAGAAUCUUUCGCAAUGCCCGAAAGGGUGACGAAGCGACGCCGCGUGUGGGAAGAAGGCCUUCGGGUUGUAAACCACUGUCGGGAGUUAGGAAAUGCAAGAGCGUUAAUAGCGCACUUGCUUGACUAAGGCUCCAGAGGAAGCCACGGCUAACUCUGUGCCAGCAGCCGCGGUAAUACAGAGGCGGCAAGCGUUGUUCGGAAUUAUUGGGCGUAAAGAGCACGUAGGCGGCCUUGCAAGUCAGUUGUGAAAGCCUUCCGCUUAACGGAAGAACGGCAUCUGAUACUACAGGGCUUGAGUACGGGAGGG